CCUACGGGUGGCAGCAGUCGAGAAUCAUUCACAAUGGGGGAAACCCUGAUGGGGCGACGCCGCGUGGGGGAAUGAAGGUCUGCGGAUUGUAAACCCCUGUCAUGUGGGAGCAAAUUAAAAAGAUAGUACCACAAGAGGAAGAGACGGCUAACGCUGGGCCAGCAGCCGCGGUAAUACAGAGGGCACAAGCGUUGUUCGGAAUCACUGGGCGUAAAGCGUGCGUAGGCUGUUUCGUAAGGCGUGGGUGAAAGGCGCGGGCUCAACCCGCGGACGGCACAUGAUACUGCGAGACUAGAGUAUUGGCGGGGGAACCGGACUUCUCGGUGUAGCCGU
RNAcentral lists this ribosomal RNA (333 nucleotides) under uncultured bacterium. RNAcentral's name for it is "partial 16S ribosomal RNA". It matches the Rfam family "Bacterial small subunit ribosomal RNA", at positions 338 to 682 of the family's 1533-position model. The record is from RNAcentral.